UUCACAAUCCAUCCCUACUAAAUUUGAAAUGAAUUGUCAAACUAAUCUAAAUUAUUUACACACACUAUAAGGGUUAAUUUUAUGGAUCUAUUCAACCUCAUAUUCCUUCCAAACCCUGAUAUCUUGAUCAUGGAGACAACAAUAAAGUGCCUCGAUUGAUAUCAUCAGCUACCGGUCAUUUGACAAUCACACUGGAUUCAGUCUAUCUAGUUAACUGCUAUUCAAAAUUUUAAUCAUGUUGUUUAUACUUUCAAUUAUCUUCAACCUUGACGUUGGCGAAAUCAUGGACAUAACGAUGGGGUCCACUAUUCAUUAAAAGAAGAAGAAAAAGAAGAAUAUAAAUGUAAAUUAGUUACUUAUACUGCUCAAGUAUGUAUGUUCCACUAACAAUGAAGCUAUAAAAAUAAUACAAAUAUAAA
Papilio polytes (common Mormon) is the source of this 419-nucleotide long non-coding RNA. RefSeq lists it as uncharacterized. Lineage: Eukaryota; Metazoa; Arthropoda; Insecta; Lepidoptera; Papilionidae. The record is from RefSeq and is a predicted model, not a curated record. The transcript is spliced from 2 exons.